RNAcentral lists this ribosomal RNA (231 nucleotides) under uncultured bacterium. Its description in RNAcentral is "partial 16S ribosomal RNA". It matches the Rfam family "Bacterial small subunit ribosomal RNA", at positions 9 to 226 of the family's 1533-position model. The record is from RNAcentral.
GUAGUUUGAUCCUGGCUCAGGAUGAACGCUGGCGGCGUGCUUAACACAUUCAAGUCGAACGGAGUUCAAUUGGGAGCUUGCUCCCGGCUGAACUUAGUGGCGGACGGGUGAGUAAUGCAUGAGCAACCUGCCUUCAGGAGGGGGAUAACAUCGGGAAAACCGGUGCUAAUACCGCAUAGAGCAUUUUGCAGGCAUCUGCGAGAUGGGAAAGGAGUCAAUCCGCCUGGAGAU